UUGAAGCUGUUUUGACUGAGCUCAGGUGU
RNAcentral lists this non-coding RNA (29 nucleotides) under Mus musculus (house mouse). Lineage: Eukaryota; Metazoa; Chordata; Mammalia; Rodentia; Muridae. The record is from RNAcentral.